Molecule: transfer RNA, 95 nt
Filed under: Xanthobacter flavus
Lineage: Bacteria; Pseudomonadati; Pseudomonadota; Alphaproteobacteria; Hyphomicrobiales; Xanthobacteraceae
Description: tRNA-Ala
Source: RNAcentral
GCCCGCCGUGGCCUGCUGCAGGGCCUCAGCGUUCGCCCCGUCGUCGAUGGCGCCGGUGUCGAGACCGGCAUGUUCGAGAUCCCGGCCGGCGGGCG